RNAcentral lists this ribosomal RNA (249 nucleotides) under uncultured prokaryote. Its description in RNAcentral is "partial 16S ribosomal RNA". It matches the Rfam family "Bacterial small subunit ribosomal RNA", at positions 524 to 772 of the family's 1533-position model. The record is from RNAcentral.
UACGUAGGGUGCGAGCGUUAAUCGGAAUUACUGGGCGUAAAGCGUGCGUAGGCGGCUGUGCAAGACAGAUGUGAAAUCCCCGGGCUUAACCUGGGAACUGCAUUUGUGACUGCAUGGCUAGAGUGUGUCAGAGGGAGGUGGAAUUCCGCGUGUAGCAGUGAAAUGCGUAGAGAUGCGGAGGAACACCGAUGGCGAAGGCAGCCUCCUGGGAUAACACUGACGCUCAGGCACGAAAGCGUGGGGAGCAAA